RNAcentral lists this transfer RNA (88 nucleotides) under Pectobacterium brasiliense. RNAcentral's name for it is "tRNA-OTHER". RNAcentral also lists the same sequence under 1 other name. The record is from RNAcentral. Lineage: Bacteria; Pseudomonadati; Pseudomonadota; Gammaproteobacteria; Enterobacterales; Pectobacteriaceae.
GGAGAGAUGCUGGAGCGACUGACCGAACCCGUCCCGAAAACGGGAGUAGGGCAACGCUACCGGGGGUUCAAAUCCCCCCGUCUCUCCA